ACUAGUGAUUCAUGCAAGUCGAACGGAAACCUUCGGGUUUUAGUGGCGAACGGGUGAGUAACACGUAAGCAACCUGCCCUUAAGACGAGGAUAACAAUUGGAAACAAUUGCUAAGACUGGAUAGGAAAAGUAAAGGCAUCUUUACUUUUUUAAAAGAUCUUCUUUGAAGGUAUGCUUAAGGAGGGGCUUGCGACACAUUAGUUAGUUGGCAGGGUAAAGGCCUACCAAGACUAUGAUGUGUAGCUGGACUGAGAGGUUGAACAGCCACAUUGGGACUGAGACACGGCCCAAACUCCUACGGGAGGCAGCAGUAGGGAAUUUUCGGCAAUGGAGGAAACUCUGACCGAGCAACGCCGCGUGAACGAUGAAGUACCUCGGUAUGUAAAGUUCUUUUAUUAAGGAAGAAAAAAGAGUGGAAAAACUCCCUUGACGGUACUUAAUGAAUAAGCCCCGGCUAAUUAUGUGCCAGCAGCCGCGGUAAUACAUAAGGGGCGAGCGUUAUCCGGAAUUAUUGGGCGUAAAGGGUGCGUAGGCGGUUUAAUAAGUCUAUAGUUUAAUUUCAGUGCUUAACGCUGUUGUGCUAUAGAAACUGUUUUACUAGAGUGAGAUAGAGGCAAGCGGAAUUCCAUGUGUAGCGGUAAAAUGCGUAAAUAUAUGGAGGAACACCAGAGGCGUAGGCGGCUUGCUGGGUCUUUACUGACGCUGAGGCACGAAAGCGUGGGGAGCAAACAGGAUUAGAUACCCUGGUAGUCCACGCCGUAAACGAUGAGUACUAAGUGUCGGGUAAAAACUGGUACUGAAGUUAACACAUUAAGUACUCCGCCUGAGUAGUACGUACGCAAGUAUGAAACUUAAAGGAAUUGACGGGACUCCGCACAAGCGGUGGAUCAUGUUGUUUAAUUCGAAGAUACACGAAAAACCUUACCAGGUCUUGACAUUUUCUUGCGAAAUUAUAGAAAUAUAAUGGAGGUUAUCAGGAAAACAGGUGGUGCAUGGUUGUCGUCAGCUCGUGUCGUGAGAUGUUAGGUUAAGUCCUAAAACGAGCGCAACCCUUGUCGUUAAUUGCCAGCAUGUAAUGAUGGGGACUUUAACGAGACUGCCAAUGAAAAAUUGGAGGAAGGUGGGGAUUACGUCAAAUCAUCAUGCCCCUUAUGAUCUGGGCUACAAACGUGAUACAAUGGUUGAUACAAAGAGUAGCUGAAACGCGAGUUCUUAGCCAAUCUCAAAAAAUCAAUCUCAGUUCGGAUUGAAGUCUGCAACUCGACUUCAUGAAGUUGGAAUCGCUAGUAAUCGCGAAUCAGCAUGUCGCGGUGAAUACGUUCUCGGGGAUUGUACACACCGCCCGUCAAACCACGAAAGUUGGCAAUGCCCCAAAGCGGUCACCUAACUUCGCAAGAAGAAGGAUCCGUCUAAGGUAGGGUCGAUGAUUGGGGUUAAG
RNAcentral lists this ribosomal RNA (1438 nucleotides) under Poinsettia flower distortion phytoplasma. RNAcentral's name for it is "bacterial SSU rRNA". It matches the Rfam family "Bacterial small subunit ribosomal RNA". The record is from RNAcentral. Lineage: Bacteria; Bacillati; Mycoplasmatota; Mollicutes; Acholeplasmatales; Acholeplasmataceae.